This 377-nucleotide ribosomal RNA is filed under the name uncultured bacterium. RNAcentral's name for it is "bacterial SSU rRNA". It matches the Rfam family "Bacterial small subunit ribosomal RNA", at positions 523 to 898 of the family's 1533-position model. The record is from RNAcentral.
AUACGUAGGGGGCGAGCGUUGUCCGGAAUUACUGGGUGUAAAGGGCGUGUAGGCGGGUAAUUAAGUCAGCGGUAAAAACCCGGGGCUCAACUCCGGGCUUGCCGUUGAAACUGGAUACCUUGAGUGCAGGAGAGGGAAGUGGAAUUCCCGGAGUAGCGGUGAAAUGCGUAGAUACCGGGAGGAACACCAGUGGCGAAGGCGGCUUCCUGGCCUGUAACUGACGCUGAGGCGCGAAAGCUGGGGGAGCAAACGGGAUUAGAUACCCCGGUAGUCCCAGCCGUAAACGAUGGUCACUAGGUGUGGGGUGUGGUCAAGCACUCCGUGCCGGAGCAAACGCAAUAAGUGACCCACCUGGGGAGUACGGCCGCAAGGUUGAA